This 468-nucleotide ribosomal RNA is filed under the name uncultured bacterium. Its description in RNAcentral is "partial 16S ribosomal RNA". It matches the Rfam family "Bacterial small subunit ribosomal RNA", at positions 28 to 507 of the family's 1533-position model. The record is from RNAcentral.
GACGAACGCUGGCGGCGGGCUUAACACAUGCAAGUCGAACGGAAAGGCCCUGCUUUUGUGGGGUUCCCGAGUGGCGAACGGGGGAGUAACACGUGAGUAACCUGCCCUUGACUUUGGGAUAACUUCAGGAAACUGGGGCUAAUACCGUAUCGGAGCUCCCGCACCAGGGUGGGGGUUGGAAAGUCUCGGCGGUUGGGGUUGGACUCGCGGCUUAUCAGCUUGUUGGUGGGGUAGGGGCUUACCAAGCCUUUGACGGGUAGCCGGCCUGGGAGCGUGGCCGGCCACCUUGGGCCUGCGGUACGGCCCAGACUCCUACGGGAGGCAGCAGUGGCGAAUCUUGCACAGUGGGCGGAAGCCUGAUGCAGCAACGCUGCGUGCGUGAUGACGGCCUUCGGGUUGUGAACAGCUUUCGCCUGUGACGAAGCGUGAGUGACGGUAAUGGGUGAAGAAGCACCGGCUAACUACGUG